This 2932-nucleotide ribosomal RNA is filed under the name Bacteroidia bacterium. RNAcentral describes it as "23S ribosomal RNA". It matches the Rfam family "Bacterial large subunit ribosomal RNA". Lineage: Bacteria; Pseudomonadati; Bacteroidota; Bacteroidia. The record is from RNAcentral.
AGAAAGAAAGGGCAGACGGUGGAUGCCUUGGCUCUUGGAGGCGAUGAAGGACGUGAUAAGCUGCGAUAAGCUCGGGCGAGGUGCAAAUAACCAUUUGAACCCGAGAUUUCCGAAUGGGGCAACCUAAUAGAUUGAAGGUCUAUUACCGCUUUAAGCGGGGCAAACGUGGGGAACUGAAACAUCUAAGUACCCACAGGAAAAGAAAAUAAAUAAUGAUUGCGCAAGUAGUGGCGAGCGAACGCGCAGCAGCCCAAACCGGCGUUGUUUAGGCAAUACCGGGGUUGUAGGACCACGAUGUAGCAAGAAAUCGGGAAAGUGGAAUCAGCUGGAAAGUUGAAUCAUAGAGGGUGAAAAUCCCGUACACGACUUUUCGAUGAAGCUUAGUGGUAUCCUGAGUAGUGCGGGACACGAGAAAUCCUGUACGAAACCGCGGGGACCAUCCCGCAAGGCUAAAUACAUCCAAGAGACCGAUAGUGAACCAGUACCGUGAGGGAAAGGUGAAAAGCACCUCGAAUAGAGGAGUGAAAUAGACCCUGAACCCGUCUGCCUACAAGCGGUCGGAGCGGAUUUAUCCGUGACGGCGUGCCUUUUGCAUAAUGAACCUACGAGUUACCAUCACCGGCAAGGUUAAGUGAUAUGAGUCACGGAGCCGAAGCGAAAGCGAGUCUGAACAGGGCGAGGUUCCAUUUUCCGUAAGGAAAAUGAAAGCGCACUAUGUGCGUGAUAGUCGGUGGGGGUAGACGCGAAACCAAGUGAUCUACCCAUGGUCAGAUUGAAGGUUGGGUAACACCAACUGAAGGAUCGAACCGAUAAGCGUUGAAAAGCUUCCGGAUGAACUGUGGGUAGGGGUGAAAGGCUAAUCAAACUUGGAGAUAGCUCGUACUCCCCGAAAUGCAUUUAGGUGCAGCGUUGUAAAUUUUUUAUGUCAGGUAGAGCGACUGAUUGGAUGCGAGGGCUUCACCGCCUAUCAAGUCCAGACAAACUCCGAAUGGGCAUAAAACUAAUUGCAGCAGUGAGGGCGCGGGUGCUAAGGUCCGUGUCCGAAAGGAGAAGAAUCCAGACUAUCAGCUAAGGUCCCCAAAUAUAUGCUAAGUUGAACUAACGAAGUCAGAGUACAAAGACAGCUAGGAUGUUGGCUUGGAAGCAGCCAUUCAUUUAAAGAGUGCGUAACAGCUCACUAGUCGAGUGCUCCGGCAUGGAUAAUAAUCGGGCAUAAGCAUAUUACCGAAGCUAUAGAAUUGUUCAGUAAUGAAUAAUUGGUAGGGGAGCAUUCUAUUACAGCGUUGAAGAUACGUGGCGAUGCGUGUUGGAGCGGAUAGAAAAGCAAAUGUAGGUAUGAGUAACGAUAAUGCGGGCGAGAAACCCGCACGCCGAAAGACCAAGGUUUCCUGAUCAACGUUAAUCGAAUCAGGGUCAGUCGGGACCUAAGGAUAAGCCGAAAGGCGAAGCCGAUGGAAGAACCGGUUAAUAUUCCGGUACUACUGUGUAGAGAGAAGUGGGGACGGAGCAGUGAAACUUCCGCGAACUGACGGAAUAGUUCGUUAAAGGGUGUAGAUGUUGAGGUUUGCAGGCAAAUCCGCAGACUAAGUCGAACCUGAUAGUAUGGAGCGUGCUUGCACAAUCCAAUAGCGAAGGUAAACAGACUCCCAAGAAAAUCCGCUAUCGUUAAUCUACAUAGUACCCGUACCCUAAACCGACACAGGUGGUUGAGUAGAAAAUACUAAGGCGCUCGAGUGAUUCAUGGUUAAGGAAUUAGGCAAAAUGACCCCGUAACUUCGGGAGAAGGGGUGCCUGUCAGCGAUGGCAGGCCGCAGAGAAUAGGAGAAGGCGACUGUUUAACAAAAACACAAGGCUGUGCAAAAUUGCAAGAUGAAGUAUACAGCCUGACACCUGCCCGGUGCUGGAAGGUUAAGAGGAGAGCUUAGCAGCAAUGCGAAGGUUUGAAUUGAAGCCCCAGUAAACGGCGGCCGUAACUAUAACGGUCCUAAGGUAGCGAAAUUCCUUGUCGGGUAAGUUCCGACCUGCACGAAUGGUGUAACGAUCUUCUCACUGUCUCAACCAUGAGCUCGGUGAAAUUGUAGUAUCGGUGAAGAUGCCGAUUACCCGCAAUGGGACGAAAAGACCCCGUGAACCUUUACUAUAGCUUUACAUUGGACUUGGGCAAUUGAUGUGUAGGAUAGGCUGGAGGCUAUGAAGCGGGCACGCUAGUGUUUGUGGAGCCGCCGUUGAAAUACAGCCCUUUGAUUGUUUGAGUCCUAACUCGCGGAUGCGAGGACAUUGUAUGGUGGGUAGUUUGACUGGGGUGGUCGCCUCCAAAAAAGUAACGGAGGCUUCUAAAGGUGCGCUCAGGCCGAUUGGUAACCGGUCGCAGAGUGUAAUGGUAUAAGCGCGCUUGACUGAGAGACAGACAAGUCGAACAGGUAGGAAACUAGAGCAUAGUGAUCCGGUGGUUCCGCAUGGAAGGGCCAUCGCUCAAAGGAUAAAAGGUACUCCGGGGAUAACAGGCUGAUCAUUCCCAAGAGCUCAAAUCGACGGAAUGGUUUGGCACCUCGAUGUCGGCUCGUCACAUCCUGGGGCUGGAGAAGGUCCCAAGGGUUGGGCUGUUCGCCCAUUAAAGUGGCACGCGAGCUGGGUUCAGAACGUCGUGAGACAGUUCGGUCUCUAUCUAUUGUGGGCGCAGGAUAUUUGAGGGGAACUGACACUAGUACGAGAGGACCGUGUUGGACUGACCUCUGGUGAACCGGUUGUCGCGCCAGCGGCAUAGCCGGGUAGCUAAGUCGGGAUUAGGAUAAGUGCUGAAAGCAUCUAAGUACGAAGCCGUCCCCAAGAUUAGAUAUCUGAUAAGGGUCGUGGAAGACUACCACGUCGAUAGGCUGCAGGUGUAAAGGCGGUAACGUCAUAGCCGAGCAGUACUAAUUACCCGGAUACUUAU